GAUGAAGAACGUAGCGAAAUGCGAUAAGUAGUGUGAAUUGCAGAAUUCAGUGAAUCAUCGAAUCUUUGAACGCACAUUGCGCCCCUUGGUAUUCCAUGGGGCAUGCCUGUUCGAGCGUCAUUUGUACCUUCAAGCUCUGCUUGGUGUUGGGUGUUUGUCUCGCCUCUGCGUGUAGACUCGCCUCAAAACAAUUGGCAGCCGGCGUAUUGAUUUCGGAGCGCAGUACAUCUCGCGCUUUGCACUCAUAACGACGACGUCCAAAAGUACAUUUUUACACUCUUGACCUCGGAUCAGGUAGGGAUACCCGCUGAACUUAAGCAUUUCAAUAAGCGGAGGA
This 337-nucleotide unclassified non-coding RNA is filed under the name soil metagenome. Its description in RNAcentral is "partial contains 5.8S ribosomal RNA, internal transcribed spacer 2, and large subunit ribosomal RNA". The stretch from base 1 to 120 matches the Rfam family "5.8S ribosomal RNA", at positions 35 to 154 of the family's 154-position model. The record is from RNAcentral.